GUGCUUGCUUUGGCAGCACAUAUACUAAAAUUGGAAUAAUACAGAUAAGAUGAGUAUGGCCCCUGUACAAGGAUGACAUGCAAAUUCAUGAAGUUUUCCAUUAAAAG
This 107-nucleotide small nuclear RNA is filed under the name Choloepus hoffmanni (Hoffmann's two-fingered sloth). Lineage: Eukaryota; Metazoa; Chordata; Mammalia; Pilosa; Megalonychidae. The record is from RNAcentral.